This 528-nucleotide ribosomal RNA is filed under the name bacterium AV-V-10-2. RNAcentral describes it as "bacterial SSU rRNA". It matches the Rfam family "Bacterial small subunit ribosomal RNA", at positions 40 to 553 of the family's 1533-position model. The record is from RNAcentral.
CGGCGGCUACCAUGCAGUCGAGCGGAACGACACUAACAAUCCUUCGGGUGCGUUAAUGGGCGUCGAGCGGCGGACGGGUGAGUAAUGCCUAGGAAAUUGCCUUGAUGUGGGGGAUAACCAUUGGAAACGAUGGCUAAUACCGCAUGAUGCCUACGGGCCAAAGAGGGGGACCUUCGGGCCUCUCGCGUCAAGAUAUGCCUAGGUGGGAUUAGCUAGUUGGUGAGGUAAUGGCUCACCAAGGCGACGAUCCCUAGCUGGUCUGAGAGGAUGAUCAGCCACACUGGAACUGAGACACGGUCCAGACUCCUACGGGAGGCAGCAGUGGGGAAUAUUGCACAAUGGGCGAAAGCCUGAUGCAGCCAUGCCGCGUGUAUGAAGAAGGCCUUCGGGUUGUAAAGUACUUUCAGUUGUGAGGAAGGGUGUGUAGUUAAUAGCUGCGCAUCUUGACGUUAGCAACAGAAKAAGCWCCGGCUAACUCCGUGCCAGCAGCCGCGGUAAUACGGAGGGUGCGAGUGUCCAUCAGAAUUA